Molecule: long non-coding RNA, 761 nt
Organism: Anarrhichthys ocellatus (wolf-eel)
Lineage: Eukaryota; Metazoa; Chordata; Actinopteri; Perciformes; Anarhichadidae
Exons: 4
Source: RefSeq, a predicted model, not a curated record
CUGUGUAUGGUGUAUAUAUGUGAUAUAUAUAUACAAAAAAACAAGUAUUUUCCUGUGAUGCCGGUAAAGCAUGCAUUUAUCAAGGGAUUUGUCUCUAAAUAACAACAUAUAACUUCCUUUUAACUUAAACAUUCUUUGUCCUUUUCAGAAUAAGUGCUCACGGUAACUGCCUGAGGGCUCUUGAAGAGCUGCUUCGUCAACACAGGAUGCCGGUUCACUGAAGGUGUUUGCAGAGUUUAACUGGAGCCACCACAAACCUGCAGAAUGACUUUUCUGAUGCUGUGGACCACUACACAACACCACACUUUGUCACAAUCUUCAAGUCCAAGAACGGAAGUGUUGGAGAGACAUUUGCUGAGUUUGUGCAGUAAAUUGAUUCACGGAAACCAGAUGUGACAGCAAUGUGCACCCUCGUACUCAGAGGCCUCCCUGUUCUACUUGGUGAUGACCCGAGUCACUUCUACCACACCAGCUUUGAUUCUGACAGGGAUGAUGCCUGGUCACAAGUAUCUUUUGGGGUGCUGGCGAACAUCAGUGAAGAUGUCCCUCUCUCCAAAUCAACUCCACCUUGAACCAGUGUCUACUUCCAUCAUUGUUGAGGAAGGUAUUGUAAUGGAUGAUCUCCUGAACCUACCUCAAGCACUUUGCCUCUUGUUUGGGUUGUCAUUUUCUUUACACUUGGACUGAAUACCCUAAAGCCAUGAAAAACACUUUCAACUUCAUUCAAAGAGUGAUGCUUGGCACAAGACAAACUCCCACCA